Ictidomys tridecemlineatus (thirteen-lined ground squirrel) is the source of this 427-nucleotide long non-coding RNA. RefSeq lists it as uncharacterized. The record is from RefSeq and is a predicted model, not a curated record. Lineage: Eukaryota; Metazoa; Chordata; Mammalia; Rodentia; Sciuridae.
AAGUAGAUUUUCUCCUCUGGAACACACUGCAGUUUAAUUUCACUUCUUUCUACAUUGUGUGAUGAAGGUGGAUUUAACUUUUAAAGGCAAAGAGACAAACCUCUGCCAGGAUAAAUGAAAAGACUCAGAGAGGGCAACUGACACAAGACAUAAAAGAGAGGAAAUGCUUUCUGGCUGUUUCCUAAUUUUGAUAUCCGGGUCAUCGUCAGAAAUAAUUUCCAGAGGGAAGAAAGGCCAUCAAGGAUACCAUGGGAAGAAGACCAGGUACAAGCUCAGGAGAGAGGCCACAGAGGAAACCAAUCAUGUGCAUACCUAGAUCUUAGACUUUUGGUCCCCCAGAAGACUCCUAAGGUAAGAAAUAGGCCGAGGUUAUAGAUUGACUCCAGAUUAUUCUAAGGAAAUAUUUUAUGGUGAAGAUGAAAAUAAG